CCUACGGGAGGCAGCAGUGAGGAAUAUUGGACAAUGGAGGAGACUCUGAUCCAGCCAUGCCGCGUGCAGGAUGACAGCCCUAUGGGUUGUAAACUGCUUUUGUACGGGAAGAAACGCAUCUACGUGUAGGUGUUUGACGGUACCGUAAGAAUAAGGACCGGCUAACUCCGUG
This 172-nucleotide ribosomal RNA is filed under the name uncultured bacterium. Its description in RNAcentral is "partial 16S ribosomal RNA". It matches the Rfam family "Bacterial small subunit ribosomal RNA", at positions 338 to 507 of the family's 1533-position model. The record is from RNAcentral.